RNAcentral lists this ribosomal RNA (526 nucleotides) under uncultured soil bacterium. RNAcentral's name for it is "bacterial SSU rRNA". It matches the Rfam family "Bacterial small subunit ribosomal RNA", at positions 75 to 630 of the family's 1533-position model. The record is from RNAcentral.
GGGAGCAAUCCUGCAANGUACAGUGGCGUACGGGUGAGUAACACGUGGAUAAUCUGCCCUGGAGUGGGGAAUAACGCUGGGAAACCGGCGCUAAUACCGCAUAUUCCCGAGAGGGGAAAGCAGCAAUGCGCUCGAGGAGGAGUCCGCGGCUGAUUAGCUAGUUGGUAGGGUAACGGCCUACCAAGGCUAUGAUCGGUAGCCGGCCUGAGAGGGCACACGGCCACACUGGCACUGAAACACGGGCCAGACUCCUACGGGAGGCAGCAGUGGGGAAUCUUGCACAAUGGGGGCAACCCUGAUGCAGCGACGCCGCGUGAGCGAUGAAGCCCUUCGGGGUGUAAAGCUCUUUCGGCAGGGAAGAUGAUGACGGUACCUGCAGAAGCAGCUGCGGCUAACUACGUGCCAGCAGCCGCGGUAAUACGUAGGCAGCAAGCGUUGUUCGGAGUUACUGGGCGUAAAGGGUGUGUAGGCGGCCUUCUAAGUUUGGUGUGAAAUCUCCCGGCUCAACCGGGAGGGGUGCGCCGAA